CGGACGGGUGAGUAACGCGUGGGUAACCUUCCUUGUACUGGGGGACAACAGUUAGAAAUGACUGCUAAUACCGCAUAAGCGCACAGUAUCGCAUGAUACAGUGUGAAAAACUCCGGUGGUACAAGAUGGACCCGCGUCUGAUUAGCUAGUUGGUAAGGUAACAGCUUACCAAGGCGACGAUCAGUAGCCGACCUGAGAGGGUGACCGGCCACAUUGGGACUGAGACACGGCCCAA
Molecule: ribosomal RNA, 235 nt
Filed under: uncultured bacterium
Lineage: Bacteria
Description: partial 16S ribosomal RNA
Rfam family: Bacterial small subunit ribosomal RNA
Source: RNAcentral